This 62-nucleotide transfer RNA is filed under the name Himaloaesalus gaoligongshanus. Its description in RNAcentral is "tRNA-Thr". Lineage: Eukaryota; Metazoa; Arthropoda; Insecta; Coleoptera; Lucanidae. The record is from RNAcentral.
GUUUUAAUAAUUUAAAUAAAAAUAUUGGUCUUGUAAACCAAAAAUAGGAUACCUUUAAAAUA